This is a long non-coding RNA of Salvelinus namaycush (lake trout), 2817 nucleotides long. RefSeq lists it as uncharacterized. The transcript is spliced from 3 exons. The record is from RefSeq and is a predicted model, not a curated record. Lineage: Eukaryota; Metazoa; Chordata; Actinopteri; Salmoniformes; Salmonidae.
UCAGCGGGGUCAUCCUGACUGUCUCUACCAACGUCAGCGGGGUCAUCCUGACUGUCUCUACCAACGUCAGCGGGGUCAUCCUGACUAUCUCUACCAACGUCAGUGGUGUCAUCCUGACUAUCUCUACCAACCUCAGUGGGAUGUCCUGACUGUCUCUACCAACGUCAGUGGGGUCAUCCAGACCUGUCUCUACCAACGUCAGCGGAGUCAUCCAGACCUGUCUCUACCAACGUCAGCGGAGUCAUCCAGACUGUCUCUACCAACGUCAGCGGGGUCAUCCUGACUAUCUCUACCAACGUCAGCGGAGUCAUCCAGACUGUCUCUACCAACGUCAGUGGGGUCAUCCUGACUGUCUCUACCAACGUCAGUGGUGUCAUCCAGACUGUCUCUACCAACUGCAGUGGGGUCAUCCAGACUGUCUCUACCAACUGCAGUGGGGUCGUCCUGACUAUCUCUACCAACGUCAGUGGGGACGUCCUGACUGUCUCUACCAACGUCAGUGGUGUCGUCCAGACUGUCUCUACCAACGUCAGUGGUGUCGUCCAGACUGUCUCUACCAACGUCAGUGGUGUCGUCCAGACUGUCUCUACCAGCGUCAGUGGGGUCAUCCAGACUGUCUCUACCAACGUCAGUGGUGUCAUCCAGACUGUCUCUAUCAACGUCAGUGGGGUCAUCCUGACUGUCUCUACCAACGUCAGUGGGGUCAUCCUGACUGUCUCUACCAACGUCAGUGGGGAAAUCUAGGGCCUCUGAGGGCGUAGGACCUUUUUAAUAGCUAUGAAGCAGAGUUGAUUAUGUAUGUAAAGAGAUUAAGUAGUUUUUCCGCUUACAUAAGUAUUGUGCUUGCUAUGUUAAUGAUUUACACUUUUUUCACAUUUUUAUCAGACCGAUUGUGUUUAUCUGACUCUUAUUGAAAUGGUCGAACAAUAAUAACACUAAAUUCAAGAAGAUGAAUGCACAGUAUUUCUUUGUGGAUAUUGUUAUAGGAAAGCAUAUCACAUAUCCGUGGUGGUAGAUGGCCUCCCUUAUCACCGCACACAAAUAAUUGGGCCAGUUACGUAAGUGACAAGCUUCCAUGAUCAAUGGGAAAUGUGAGAAUCAAACUGAUUAAGUAAAGUGAGCUUCACUUUCAAAGGUUGGUCAUUUUAAUUCCCUCCAGUCUCUCUCUCUCUCACACACACAGGGACAACCAUGUGUUUACGGUCCAGAUAACAGCACUUGCUAUUUACUCAAACGAAUGCACAGUGACGAGAUCGUACCUUUUCCUCCACAAGUUCUGGUUCUUCAGUACCAUCUACUACUUUGGUAACUGGGUGUUUAUCGGGGUUUUCCUCAUCGGCCUGUUGGUGUCAUGUUGUAAGGGGAAGAAAUCAGUGAUCGAAGGAGAGGUGGAGGCAGACGACUCUGACAUGAGUGAAGACGAAUACGUCCACUGACAAGACCACAGCCUGCCAGACCUGGGUUCAAAUACUAUUUGAAGUCUUUUAAAUACUUUUGAGCAUUUGCUUAAGUCUGCCUGGGAGUGCCGGGUGGGCGGGGUUUGCAUGUUCUGGACUUUUCUAUGGGUUCACCUGCAAAAGGCAAGCUUAAUCAAAUACAAUUUAAGUAUUUGAAAUUAUUUUAAACAGUGUGCCCUAAUGAAUAUGACCCAGGUCUGCUACCUGCAUGGACCAGCAGACAUUUAAACCGGAUUGGUUUCUGUUACAUCUGGUUUGCUGUAACAUAAUAAUUUGACAUUUGGAUUGUUCAUACAAUGCAGUAAAACAUGAAUUUGAACUUUUGUUUUCUGGUUCUGCCUGAGAUCGGUUCAUAUUACACACCGUUGUGUUGAUACUGAUUUAUUAUAACAGGAGAGAGUGAUUGUGAGGUUGCUUUUUUCUAUUAGGGAAACUUUUUGUUUUUUGUUCAGUCAGGUGUCUUUUUUCAAAGCAGUAUGUAAACCCUUAUUGCAUCCCAAAUGGCACCCUAUUUCAUAUAUAGUGCACUUCUUUUGACCAAAACCCUAUUAGACCCUGGUCAAAAGUAGUGCACUAUAUAGGGAAUAGUGUACCAUUUUGAGAUGCAACCCUCUUUGUAUUACUAUGGGUAUGUGCCUGUUGUUUAAAAUGUCAUCUCCACCAAUUCCAUGUGUUUAUGUUUCCAAAAAGAAAGAUUUAGUGUUGCAAAAUUCUGGUAUCUUUUCCAAAAUGAGAGGAUUCUGAAUUUCCUGCUUAUUUCCCUCACUAUUCUGGGAAUCUUCAAAUGGAGAAUAAAAAGACAUAAAAACCAGGUCAUUUGGGGAAAGUUACCAACGUUUUGCAACCCUAAGAAAGAUCCUUGGCUGAUAACCAAACGGUGGGUUAUUAAACGACCUUCACCCUGUCAUACUGGAUGUUUUGGAUCCUGAGAAGAGAAGAUGUUGUCGGGGAAACAUAUUCCAGGCUUACUUUGUUUCUUAUUUUAACUCAGCACAUUUUUGUUGUCAUGUACAUUUCUGUAAUAUAUGGCUGGAUAAAUGUUUAUUUAAGCCUUUAACAGAUUUAUUAUUUUUAAGAUUACUAACUUAAGCACAUUCAGCAUGUUAACUUACAGCAACAAAUAUGGACAUGUAUUUGAUACCAUAUUGAUAAUGCACAUUGCUGAGUUAAAAUCUAUAUUCUCUUAUCCCUGAUUUUGGUAGUGUUUGGUCGGGCUUAACUUGACUAACUGUUAUUGCGUUGAUGGAUUGAUUUGCUGUAAAGUUAUCUUAACAUGAACUGAGCAUAAUAUCACUUGACUACUGAUCACCAUGUCAAUUUACUUUAUGAAUUUGGAAUAAAAUAUGAAUUCUGAAUUGAU